RNAcentral lists this long non-coding RNA (13540 nucleotides) under Brassica rapa (field mustard). RNAcentral describes it as "long non-coding RNA (BRAP_LNC007711)". Lineage: Eukaryota; Viridiplantae; Streptophyta; Magnoliopsida; Brassicales; Brassicaceae. The record is from RNAcentral.
UUGGAUUCCUCUCAGUUGCUCCAUGUACAGAGCCGUUGCGCCUUCUGCUACCUUGAACAUCCACUCGGUUGCAAAGAACUGUGCGUCCUCGUUGUUUGAAUCACCAUUGGUUGAGAUUCCUUCAGCUAGAGGCUCAAGCUGCUGAGGUAAAGUCAGGAGAUAUUAUCCAACGCUUGUAACGUAAGCCUGAGGGUAUGAGCUGAAGUUUGGUAGAGCAAACGCAGUUUGUUCCUCCACAGAAGACCAGAUUGGUAGGCGAGAUACUUCCCCGAGUCUUUGCCUGACUUUUGAUAUGAGGAUGUCAUAUACAAGUUUGUUCACUGUGUCCUCAAACGCAGCUACUCUCUGAGAUGCCAAAGGCAGUGCGUGGAACCUUGGAUCUUUUGACUGCAAAAAAAAAACAGCAAAAGGAAAUGAUACAUAUGAACAGUGUAUAUUAAUUUAUGAAUCUUUGUCAAUUAAGACUACCUGUUCCAACAGGUUUAGGAGUUUGCGAGCCUUCUCCGGAACAUCAACCAACCGAAUAGCUGCCACAUCCAGGGAAGCUCGUCCAGCCAUAGACAAAUCUCCAGCUGUUUGUUCACUUGUCAAAUGUGACAGGUUCUGAUCCAGAUUGUGCCAAAUAGUGAAAUAGACAAGCUGGAGUUUAGUCUAGCCAGAGUGGCUCUCAAAGAAGCUUCAAACACAGAAGACCUGCUCAAGUCAGCUUCUCACCGUCUUUAUAGGAGCUUUCGUCUAAUAUUUUAAGCCUUCUGGUGUUGUCAAUCGAGACAUGGUAACAUAAAACUGUCCAUGGGUAAAUACAGGCCGGGGAAGAUAUAAAGCUGACUUGCUUUAGGCUUUGGCCUUGACUUUUAUUUAUUGUCAUGGCAUAGCUAAGUCGGAUUGGGUAUUGCCGUCUACGAAGUUAAAAGGAUGUAUGCUGUCAGUUGGGCUUAGCUGUAUCCUAGGGAGUAAUAUUCGUUCACCAACUUCUGUCCGGUCAUUUUUAUCAAAAAAAACAAAAAAAAAACUUCUGGUCCGGUCAUAAUCUCCACUUCGACAAUCACCAAGCCAUGAUCCUGAUUAACGUUGCGCAGUGAAUUCAAAGGAGUAGCAUGAAUGUAGUUUACUCAAACCGUGCCCAAACUGAUCCGAUUCGAUUGUAUUUUAUAAAUUCCUUACUAACAUUUUCUUGUAUUCCUCCUGUGUAUUAAAAUAAUUUUAAAAUAAAAUCUAAAAAUUAAAACCCGGCUGGAAUUAUUCAUACGUUAGUCUCCCUAUUAAUCUUGAAAUUUGAAUAGUUACAAAACAACUAAAAUUUUAAUAAAUCAACAAUUCCAAUUUAGUUAUAUAAUUAUAACUUUAUUUUUCUUAAUCUUAGGAAGAUUGUGAAUGAAUUUACUUGUUCCGUAGUCAUUUGUAUCUAAACCGAAACAUAUAGUAAAAAACAAACUAAAUAUUAGGAAUUAGUAAAUCAGAGUAUUUCGGUUGGAAUGUCACGUAAGAUGAUAACUCGAAUAAUACUGAAAGUCUGUAUAGUAACUAAUUAUUUAAAUAUUCUAUUAUAUCAUUACUCAAAAGUUAGUUAUAGGAUGACAAAAAGUUUCCUUUUAGUAUUGUUAUGAUUUCAACGUCAAAAGCCAAAAACGCAAAGGAGUAGCAUGAAUGGAGUUUACUCAAACCCUGCCCAAUCUGAUCCGAUCACAAUUCUAAUGGAUUUUCCACUUUUAUUUCAGUUAAAAGAAUUGAAAAAACUAUAUAAGAGGGAAUAAAUUGAAAUAGUUUUUUUAUUAUUGACUGAAACAAAGAUAAUCAAAGUUGCGAAAGUACUGCAGAUAAAUAAGAAGUAUUUAAACUUGGAACAUGAAACCAUAACUGCUGGUAUCCAUUUCUUGGCCAUCUUGGUAGAUGAGUGGGUCCUCUUCUUCGCCGAAGCAUCGGCUGGUUUCGCAUCAGUAUUCUUAUCUGCAUCACUACUGCCUUCUCCAGUUUCAACACGAACAGGAACCGGACCACCAUCUGCCAUGUCAGCAUCAUCACCAUCGUUUCUCCCCUGAUACAUUCGGAAAGUGUUACAUACUAACAGACAUACAUAGAUAAUCAAAGGUUCGCAAAAUCACUCUUACCUUAACGACAAAGUCAGGAACUGGAACACGCUCAUGCUCCUUAAGGAUGCGGGUGAUGGUGAGGUCUAAUGGUGUGCAGUGAAGUUAAACGUGCUAACUCUGACCUGGAAGGUGAAUGUUUUUCCUUCCAUGUCUGUGAUAAACAGCGGCACCUAAGAGUCCUCAGGAUUUACUCCUUCCUCAGCCUGUUCGUCAGAUUGAAAGCACCAUGUAUGUUAGCAUUUAUAUUUAAUAAUCCUUUAAGAAGACUAAUGCACAUCUUACCAACACUGACCGGCUUCACUUGCUCGGAGGUUAUGCAGCUUAGUCAUCACACCAUCAAAACACACGAAUGCACCUUCAACUGUGCUAUCAGCGAUUGCCAACUCCACACGAUAACUGACGGAGUUUACGGAAAAAAUGAAGACGUCCAUGCCUCUCCAAGGAUAGAAAUUAACGCCCUACAAACUUUCAGUUUGAAUUAUUGCCUAUACACUAUCUAGCCCUUGAGUAAUUUGCCAAUAAUGAUUUCAAGAAUUUUAAUCAUAUUUUUCUUCCUCCCAACAAGCUAGGCAUUUCGAAUCGUGACUGUGACCAGUUUUACAAGUGCAUCACAUCCGUCUUCUCGAAGUGGACUUUUAUUUAAACGUCACCGUGCUAUCACAUACGAGUUCCUGGAGCUUUGUUUUCAAAAGUUUAACAUGUGUGUUAUAGGUUUCUACGCCGUUACUUUUCUGAUUUUAUGAUAAAGAGGUUUAAGACAGAAUUUUUACAUAAACUUUGGUUAUGAUCUGGUAUCUGUAUCUAUUUAUUUCAAGUGUUUAUGCACCUCCCUACAGGGAAUCACUUCCAAAACAAACAAACAAAAAUUAACUAUAUGAUUUCCCUACUUAUUUCUACCCAGAAACAAACUAAUAUCUUAAAACAUGAACGGUUGUUAUUGCAAAAAAAUCAAACAGAUUUAUUAGUUUGAUGGGAUUUAUUGUUUUCAAAGUCUAGCAUUUAUAAUAUAGAAUAAAUACUUUAAAAAUAUAGUAGAUCAAGAUGAGAUGGUCAACAUUUUAAGGAAAACAAGUGAAGAAAGAUGACUGAAAAGAAUAAGAGAAAUUCUUGGGUUCACCCCUAGGUGAAUCUAUAGGUUCACCAACCAAUGAAAAUUGGUUAUUUUAUAUACAAAUUUUUUCAAAAAAGGAAACAAAAUUUUUAGAAUUUAUUUUUUUAAAUAAAAGGAUAUAAAAUAAAAAAAAACGUAUAAUAACAAUAAAAGAUGAUUUUUUUAAUAUUGUUAAAGCUGUUCAUACUAAACACUAAAUCCUAAACCCUAAACAUGAAACCCUAAACCCUUGGAUAAAUCCUAAACCCUUGGGUAAAGAGAUAUUCCAACGGUUAUGAGUCUAUCCAUGGGUUUAGGAUUUACCCAAGGGUUUAGGGUUUAGGUUUAGGGUUUAGGGUUUAGUAUGAACGGCUUUAACAACAUUAAAAAAUUCUUUUCUUACAGCAGCUACUAUUUUUUUAUUUAUUUUUUAUAUUUUACCUAAGGGUUAGGAUUUAUCAAGGGUUUAGGGUUUAAGGUUUAGUGUUUAGGAUUUAGCGUAUAGGGUUUAAUAUGAACGACUUUAACAAUGUAAAAAAAUUCAUUUUUAUUGCUAUUAAAUAUGCAACGUAAACACACAUAAAAAUGAGACAUCAUAUUUGAUAUAUUUAAAUAAAUAAUUUUAAAUAUAUUAUAUUCUUGAUAAUUUUAAAAUUACUUAAAAAGAAACUAAAUUAUUAAAAAAUUAAUAUACAAAUAAAACAAAAACAAUAUUUUGUAACAUCAAAAUAAUAAAUGAAUAAAAAUAUAUUAUGUUAAUAAAAUAGAUUUUAGAUUUUAAAAACUUCUAAUUCAUGUAAUAUAAAAAAUUUCAAAAUUUGUUUAUUACAAUUAAUAUUUUACCAUUAGAUAUAUUAAAUAAUAUUCUAGAUCGAUAUUCAAUUUUCAGUUUUUAACUAUUACACGUAAAAAAUAUUAUUAAGUACGUUUUUUUGAAAAGGUGGUUUUAUAUUUUAAGUAGGUUAUUGGAGUACUUUUUUUUUUGAAUUUAUUCGAGAUGAGAUUUCGAUCUUUUAAACUACGAUAAUUUAUGUUCUAUACAUAAUUAUAUAUUUUUUACGUAACUCUAAAAUCUCGGACUUGAUUCUUCAUAUUUUAUUAGUUAAUUGUGUUACAUAUAAUAGAAAUACUUACUUCAAACUUAAAAUAUAAAAAAAUCAAAUUUAAAUUAUUAUAUAAUUUAAUAUACAAGAAUUCACAUACAAAAAAAAUGAUAAAUAUAAUAAUUUAAAUAUUAUCCGCGCGUAGCGCGGAGAAAGGAUCUAGUUAAAAUGAUGACUAAAUAACAAAAAAGUUAAUAACAAAUCUAUGUUUUUUAGUUUUAUUUUCCUUUAAGUCUUGUUUAUUGAAGUUUGAUUAGUUAUCGUUAUCUUUUAUUCAUUCCAUAUUAAAUAAUGAAAUAUUUAAGAUCUAGUUUUUUUUGUUUAAAAAUAAUUCUACAAGUUUUAUACACUUGGACAUCAAGGAACGACUAGCUUCAAUUUCAGUCUCAAGUUGCUCGUUUGGAAACAACAAGCUAUACUUAGAUAAAUCGUCAUAUUUAACUGGAUUAUCAUUGGCAUGCACGUCAAACUAUAGGUACAUUAAUUUUCAUAAAGUUGAUAUGGAGAAGUUUUUUUCAUCGUUUAUUUUAUGAUGCUUAAACUUUAAAUUCACACGUACAUUUAUUUAUUCUCAUUCUUGAUUUCCCUCGAACGCUGGAUCUUUUUUAGCUUGCUACGGAUUUUCUUGUCUCUGACUAAACGUGGGUGUUAUGAAAAUAGUAAACCUAUUCUAAAAUACGAUAAUAAAUAACCAUUAGACUUAAUAAUUAGAACAACAAAUAUAUUUAAUAUACUACCACAACAAAAUAUAUAGUCUAGUCAACCUUUUUAUUCCUAGACUACUAAUUUGAGAUAUAUUCAAAAUUAAUGGUAAUUGAACAAUUACCAAAAUAUUACAGUCAAAUUAUUUUUUACCAUACUACUAUAUGAAAUAUGUUGAAAAUUAAUGGUAAUUGAAUACAUUCCUAACGUUGUCCAUUUUGUGUUCUUGACUCUUCCUCUCAACUAUCUGUAUAUAUAAGAUUACAAGUGCAUGACUAUAUUUCAACAUCACAAAACAAAUAAAAGAUAAAACUAAAAGCGACAGCCAUGGGAACACCAAAACUGAAGUUGGCUGUCGAGGAGUUGGAGAUGGAUCAUCUCAUGCUCCAGAUCCAAAAUGGUAGAAUGCUUGAUGACCUUUCUCAAACCGAGACUGAGAAGUUAAAGUCAUAUGCAAGUAAGAAGUUCCAAACUCUUAUGGGUGAGAUCCCAAAGGCACCAUUCCCAAUGAUACAGGGGGAAGUGUCUAUUUGAUGGAUAAGUGGAUCAAGGAUCCAUCUGAUAAGGAGGAUGAGAUGAAGAAGACCUGUGAAGGAGAGAGCAGCAAGUCUGGUGGUGCGGACGAUGCCUAAUGAAGCAGCUAGCCGUCGAAUAAUAAAAUUAAUGUGUCUUGGAAUAAAGUUGUUAUUGUUGUGUCUUUGCAUUCUCGUUUCAUAUUUCUAGUUUUUGUUGCUUUGGUCAUGUUUCCUGUUUUUUGUUUCUUGUUGUGUCUUAAAGAUGUGUCUUUGUUUGCAUAUGUUAAUCUAAAUAAUGCAAUGUUUUCCCUUUGCAAUCAUUAAAGAGCUCAUCCCGUAUUUAACACUGUUUUUCUAGAGUUCAACAUAAAGCAAAUUGUUUCAGAACAAUAAGCUAUAUAUAUACACAUUAAUUUUCAUGAAUAGUUUGAUAUGGAAAAGUUUUUCUCAUCGUUUCUUGUAUGAUGCUUAAACCUUAAAUUCACACGUAAGAUUUAUUAUUGUCUUUCUUGAUUUUCCCUCGAACGCUGGAUCUUUGGCUGCUUACUACGUAGCAUUUUUUUUUCUUUUUAGCAUUUACAUUAAGACUACAAAUUACUCAGUAUCUACAAUUUCAAGAGAUUUGUUUUAGAGUGUGUGUGUGUGUGUCCUAUUUUUUGCAGACGCUGGUCUUCCUAGGGAUGGCAAUUGGUACCACCCGCCCCGCUGCGGUCUCUAUCUCAUGUGGAUCUUUGCGGGUCAGCCCGCCAUGACCCGCGGUACCCAAACCCGCGGGUAGUAAAAAGAUGAUGUUUCGUUGUGGUGAGAAGAUUAUGUUUCCACAUGUUUUCUUGAACGAGGACGGCUCUCAACUCAAUACUGUAACUUAAUAACAGCAUGUGCACUACUAGGACUUAACAGAAACGAAGCAAACAAACUUCUUCCAUAUAAAGUAGGACUUAACAGAAACGCAUCAUUGCUUACAGAGAAAGGAAGGUAAAUUCUAUCUCCUACAUUCAAGGACCCCUUGGCUGCCACCUUCAAACAGACAACAUCAGCUUCUUAAAAAACAGUUCUUGUCCUAACCAAGAAUUAACAAAAGAGCUAUUUACCCUUUUAAGUUGUCUUCUUUGUAGUUCAUCACCGUCACAAGUCACAUGCCCUUCUCUUUUUUAACCUGAAACACAUUUACAAAUCUCUUAAUCAUGUAACUUAAUGGUUCGAUCGAAUCAUCAAAAUAAAAUAUUUUAGCUGAAGAGAUCACGGACCUGUCUUAAACGAAAGAGUUCAUGUACGAGGUUUCUAGGUAAGUCCAGACGAACGAAGAAUCCACCUCAGCUCCGGUGGUGGGAUCUCCAAGAAGAGAAGCUAUGGGGUGGAAAGAAAACGGAGAGAAGCUUCACUGGUGGUUCGACGAAGAAGAGAAGCUCCGGUGGUGGCCUUAAUCAAAGAGAAGAAGAACCGGUUGGUGGUGAUGCUCCUCUGGUGCUCGACGGUGACUCGGUGGAGUCGUGGAGAACAUGAAUCGCCAUUUUCAUGAUCUCUCUCUUUUUUUCAGGUGGAAACAAAACAAAACAGGAAGUGGCGCGGGUUCUUUCUGCCCCACAAGACCCGCAAUAGUCCAAACCUUAAAGGCCCAAACCCACAUGAGACUUAACCCACGAGACCCGCUCACAAAUGGGCCUCAAUAUCUCUACCCAAACCCGCCCCGCAUGGGUCUUCUGCGGGCCCGGCCCGUGGGCAGCGGUUUACUUGCCAUUCCUAGUCUUCCCAUAAAUGUUCAAGUUAUUCACUCCCACCCAUUAGUCCAACGCUUUCAGUGUAAUGAUAAAAGAAAGCCAAAGUGGAGAGGGAUAGAGAGAGUAGAAUUACACCCCAAAGAUUCCAAUAGCAUUAAUCUUCUUAAUCGCUUCCCUCAUCGCUAAACCUUCUGCCAUUAGUGGUGACAUAACAAAGUUAGUGGAUCUUGAAAAUCUCUGAGUCUCUCUUGAAGUUUUGAUAGUCCAUCCCAGUCUAGCAGCCCCUGAUGUUUCAGUCUUGAAGCACGAUUUAACAUAUGUUUUUAAUAGGAAAGAAAUAAACCAAAUGUGGAACAUGUGCUAGGGGAAAACAAUGUACCUGUAAAAAUGGACUAGACACCACGUAGUGGCAGCUGAUGAAGCUCAGUUAUUAGCUCCGUCAACUUAACCUGAUUUUCAUUCCUGCAUUGAACCAACUGCCUCCUUAGAUCUUGGACCUGGUAAUUAAGCCUUUGAAUCUUAUUUUCUUGUGAGAAAAUUUUCUGCCAUAAAUAGAGAUAGUCAUAUCAUUAUUAGAUCAUACUAUGAAGGCAUAUGCGAAACUAAGAGUGGGUGGUUUUCAGAUAACUAUGGUUAAUGUAAGUUUCCUCAGAAUCAAAGCAGCUAAAGAGAAGUGAAACGGAUAAAGACAAACCUUUUCUUGCACAGACUCUUUGCCAUGUAGUAUAUGAUGUUGCUCUUAAUCUGAUUGAAUCAAGGAACGACUAAAGUUUUCUUAUAUGGAGAAGUUUUCUUCAUCGUUUAUUGCCAUUCUUGAUUUCCCUCGAACGCUGGAUCUUUCGUUGCUUGCUACGGAUUUUCUUGUCUCUGACUAAACGUGAGUGUUAUGAAAAUAGUAACCUACUAGGCAGUAACUAGCGAUGUGAGCGGAGUAAAAUAGUUUAUUAGAUUAUUUAUAGUAUGUUGUACUAAAAGAUUUGUCAUAUAGCUUUUUGGAAUAAAUAUUCAUAUAUCUGUUCGAAUUCAGUUGAUCUAUCGGGAUUUCACACUUUUAGAGUUAGAUAUUUAAAUCUUAUACAGAUAUUUACAAAUUUUGGUUUAGAUUUGGUUUCGAAUCUUUGCGGGUUUAGUUCGGAUUCGAGUUCGGAUACCCAUUUUAAUCAGGUAUUUUUUAACAAAAAUCUAAAUAUACUUAAAUGCUCAAAAUCCAAAAAUAAAAUAAUAUAAAACAUAAAAAUUAAUAAUGUAAGACUAACUAUUUAAAUUUACAUAAAAAUUCAUUCAAUUUAAAUAUUUGGAUGGAGAACAAAUAAAUAUUAUCAGUAUUUUUAACAUUUACUGUUAAUUUUAGAUAUUUACUUGUGUCUAUGUUGAUAAUUUUGAGAUACUUUCAUAUUUUUUAAUAUCUAAUGAAUAUAAUAUUUAAAAUAAUUAAUAUAUUUAAAUAUAUAAUUGAGAUUUAGAUAUUUUGGUAUUCAAAAUAUUUUAUUUUGGAUUAGAUUCGAUUCUGGUUAUCUAGAUAUUAAACUUUUAAUCCAUCUGAAUAUACUUAAUCGUUUUAGUUUGUGUUUAGUAUUACUUUCAAAUCUAGUUCGAUUCAGUUUCAGAUCCAGAUGAGUUAAUCAAAUAAAUUGUGUGUGAACACAUUAAAUUAUUUGCGGUAAAGUUAAAAAAUUAGUGUGUGAAUGCAUUAAUUGUUAAAUGAUUGUGAGGCCGACACGUCAGCAUACUCAAAUUGAAAUCAAUGUGAAGCUAUAACGUAGAAAAUAUAGUGUGAACGUAUUAAUUACAAAUGUUUAUCUUUUAAUAUAUAGGAGAUACUAAAAUACGAUAAUAAAAAAAAUAGACUUAAUAAUUAGAACAACCAAUAUAUUUAAUAUACUACCACAACAAAAUAUUUAGGGACAAACUGGUAACCACUAUAGGAACACUAGGAAUGAGUAGGAGAAAAAUGUAGAGAAAUAAAAUUAUAGGAAGAAAAGAAAGAUUAUUCCUUACCGAUUUUAAUGAGAAACAAAUUUGUUAUAUAUUCCUCUAGAAUAAAAGGAAUGAGAAGAAUAAAAAAGAAAAAUUAUUUCUUAUAAAUGGUAAAAAUAAUUAGAAAUAGUAAUAAAUUCAUCAUUUCCUUUCAUUCAGUGGUCACCAGUUAGACCCUCAGUAUAGUCAAACUUUUUCUUCCUAGACUACUAAUUUGAGAUAUAUUCAAAAUUAAUGGUAAUUGAACAAUUACUAAAAUAGUACAGUCAAAUUAUUAUUUACCAUACUACUAUAUGAAAUAUGUUGAAAUUUAAUGGUAAUUGAAUACAUUCCCAAAGUAGUCCAUUUUGUGUUCUUGACUCUUCCUCUCGACUCUCUCUAUAUAUAUAAGAUUGCAAGUGCAUGACUAUAUUUCAACAUCACAAAUAAAAGAUAGAACUAAAAGCGACAGCCAUGGGAAGACCAAAAGUGAAGUUGGCUUGGGUCGAGGAACGAAAGAGAAGAGCUACUGUUUGCCAGCGGAGAAUGAAAGAAUUGAUUCAAAUGGCUGAAGAACUAACCAUCGUUUGUGAUAUGAGUGCAUGUUUGGUCUUUUACAACCGUAAAAAUGGUAAGCUGGUGGUGUGGCCAUCUCUGGAGGAGGCUCAAUCUCUCAUUGACUGCUAUAACGCAUUACCGGAAACCGAGAGGAACAUGAAGGCGGAUGAUGAAGAGUCAUCAUUCAUCAAGACCAUUACCAAGGAGAUCGAGAAGAAACUAGAGCUUUCUCGGAAGGCUAUCAAGGAGUUGAAGAUGGAUAAUCUCAUGCUCCAAAUCAAAAAUGGUAGUAGAAUGAUUGCUGAUCUUUCUCAAACCGAGAUUGAGAAGUUAAAGUCAUAUGCAAGUAAGAAAAUUGCGUAUUAUGAUAGAGAGUUACGUAAGCAACAUCCGAAUACGAGUGGCAAUGAGCCAUUUCUUGAGGAUGACAAUGGGGAGAUGAAGACCUAUGAAGGAGAGAGCAGCGAGUCUGAUGGUGCGGACAAUACCUAAUGAAGCAGAUAGCUGUCGAAUAAUAAAAUUAAUGUGUCUUGGAAUAAAGUUGUUACUGUUGUGUCUUUGCAUUCUCGUUUCAUAUUUCUAGUUUUUGUUGCUUUGGUCAUGUUUCUUGUUUUUUUUUGUUUCUGUUUCUUGUUGUGUCUUAAACUUGUGUCUUUGUUUGCAUAUGUUAACCUAAAUUAAUGCAAUGUUUUCUAUUUCAAUCAUUGAAGAGCUCAUCUCGUAUGUAACACUAUAUGUUUUCUAGGGUUCAACAUAGCAAAUUCUUUAAGAAUAAACUAUAUUUUGAUAAAGCAUCGUAUUUAACUGAGAUUAUCAUUGGCAUGCAUGUCAAACUAUAGGUACAUUAAUUUUCAUGAAUAAUUUAAUUCUUUAAGAAUAAGCUAUAUUUUGUCCAACGUUUCUUUUAUGAUGCUUAAACCUUAAUUUCACACGUUAGAUUCAUUGUUGUCUUUCUUGAUUUUCCCCGACCGCUGGAUCUUUCGUUGCUUGCUACAUAGUAAAACUUUUUUUAGCAUAUACAUGAACAAUACAAAUUACUCAGUAACUACAAUUUCAAGAGAUUUGUUUAAGUGUGUGUCCUGUCCAAGUUAUUGACUUCACUCAUUAGUCCAACACUUUCAGUGUAAUGAUAAAUGAAACCAACGAGAAGAGAGAUAGAGAGAGAGUAGAAUUACACCCCAAGAUUCCAAUAGCAUCCUUAGCUACACAUACUUGAUGUAGUACACCUAUAAGGACAUCUAUAAGGACCACUCCUCUUUGAUUGCUUCUUCAAAGUACACAGAACUUUCAAGUGCGCAGUGUUUAUAAACAAGUCUUUUGGGGUAUUAGGUUGAUUAAAGAAUCUUGAUUAACAUUUCAAGCCUGUGAAGUGUGUGAGAGAAAGCUUCAAUCUGCACACACCAAACAUGUGAUUCAGAAUAUAGUACUCAUGAGGAUUCAGUAGGGUGAAAAAAAUGCCCUUCUACUGUAAAACUUUUUUGCAGAGAAAGCUAUGGGCGUUCCCCAGUCAAAAAAAAAUACGCUUCUAAACAAGUUUCAGAAGGAUAUUGCAACUACUUACCUGUAUCUACUGAGAGAUAUUCAGAGACAGACACAACAUAAUAGUGUUGUACAAGUUUUACAAGUUUUUCUGAAUAUUAAUAUUACGUUUGAAUCAUUGGAAAAUGGUAAUAAUUUUCAUGAGAUUAACAGAGCAUAAACCCAUAUGAAAUUAAGUUGUGAGGGUUUUAGGAAAAUUGGAUAUUUAGUUCCAAAAUAGAGCAACGAUAUUAAGAUUUUUUUUUUUUUGUUAAAGAACAAUGUUAAGAUUUGUUAUUAUAUAAAUAUAUCUAUUAAUAGUGUUGUCAUAUAAACAUAUGUACUUAUAGCAAAUCACACUUCAAAAAUGUUCAAUUGUAUCAAAAAUGAUAGUAUACAUAUUUAUUUGUGUAUGUACAUGACUUUUAUCUUAUCUCCCUUCAAAACUAUAGUAUGCAAUAACGCUGACUUUCAUUUUACUAUUGAACAAACUUCCAAAUACGUUCCAACUAAAAACUCUAACAAUGUGAUUUCACCAUUUAUUUAUAGUAUCCCAUAAAAUAAAAUAAUAAAAUCAAAAAAGAACUAAAAGAUAUCCUAACAAACAAUGAUUUUAAACUCAUUUUCAAAUGGAAAUAAUGUUUCAUAAGCUCAAACCAACGAAAAGAUCUAAUCUCACAAAUAAUUUUUCUUUUGUGUUACCAAACUCAAAAACCAAAAAAAUAAUAUGAAAAUUAAUGGAAAAGCAAAAUGAGCAAUUAUACAUAAUCAAACAUAUAGUUAAAAAAGAGUAACACUAUCUAAUAAAUUAAAAAAAAAAAAAAAAAAAAGCAUACAUAUUACUAUCUCCCAAACAUCGACACACUUUUAAGGAAAGCAAAAUGACAUUGUAACAUCGUCUCUUGCAUUUUUUUAAUUAAAGAAAUUAAUUACAAAGUUUUGACGAACCGCAAUACACAAGAAAUCUAAAAAUAACAUAUGAUCAUGGAUUAACUCAAAUAAAUAAAUUUUUAAAAUAAAAAAAAAUUCAUCGUCGCAAUAAAGAUAAAAUAUUAUAUCAUUCCAAGAAUCACAACAAUAUAAUUAUGCAAUUUGGUCAACAACAGCUAAUUCAGCUCUCGAUAUCAUUAGAUAUUAUAUAAAUAAAGAUCACAUGUAAAUAAUGUUUCACAAAAACAGAAAAUUAUGCUUUUGAAAAUAAAAAUAUGUCGAUCUAAACACUUAAUUACGUCAAAAUCCCGCGCGAAGCGCGGACUUGCCCUAGUAUUGCAUAAUUAAGAGUUUAAUAAUUUUUUCGCUUUCAACCUACAUGAAUUCUUAAGUUGGUGCAUAAUUACUCUGAAACUUGUUUUUAUCUAAAAAGUAUUAUUAAAAUAUAAAUUGAAAAUUGUUCAUUCAAUAAUAAAAUAAACUACAAAAUAUCAUUAAUUAUGCAAUUUUUGAUAAAAGUAAAAAUUACAUUGAAAAAAUGAAAACAUCUUCUAUUUUUAAACAUCAAAAACUUCCUUGUUUAAAACCGACGGGGGUAUAACUUUAUUACAUUAUAUUAAGAAAACAAAGAAACUUGUCUUAUGAUAGCAUCAAAACUUGGAAAUGUGUAAUACAAAUAUGACAAUGGCCAGCCGAACAAAUUAGUUAGCAGGUCCUCUUCGUAGGGCACAAAAGCAUGUUUUUGAGAGUUCAGAGACUAAUCAAAACUGAUACGACGCAUCUUACAAACAAGAUUAGCCGUAGGGAAAUCAAGUUCACUACCAGCGUCUGAUUUCAUCACAUCUUUGAGCUCAUCUCUUGGUGUAGCCAAACACGUCUGGAAAGUUGCAAGCACAGGCGGAAUCGGCAUGGACAAGGCCGCAAGCACAUUGCUCAAGUACUCUAUAUCUACACACAGUUGCUGUGCUCCUCGGUCUGAAAUGUAUUGGAUUCCUCUCAGUUGCUCCAUGUACAGAGCCGUUGCGCCUUCUGCUACCUUGAACAUCCACUCAGUUGCAAAGAACUGUGCGUCCUCGUUGUUUGAAUCACCAUUGGUUGAGAUUCCUUCAGCUAGAGGCUCAAGCUGCUGAGGUAAAGUCAGGAGAUAUUCUCCAACGCUUGUAACGUAAGCCUGAGGGUAUGAGCUGAAGUUUGGUAGAGCAAACGCAGUUUGUUCUUCCACAGAAGACCAGAUUGGUAGGCGAGAUACUUCCCCGAGUCUUUGCCUGACUUUUGAUAUGAGGAUGUCAUAGACAAGUUCGUUCACUGUGUCCGCAAACGCAGCUACUCUCUGAGAUGCCAAAGGCAGUGCGUGGAACCU